CGAUGAAGACCGAUGAAGACAAGAAACAAUUUGCGGAAGAGUACAAAGAAAAUCUGGAAGCUAAUAUUACACAUUUUCCCAAUAUACGACGGGAACUAAAUAUUUCAUAAACUUAGGCAACUCAAAACGGUCCCGCAUGUUAGGCACAAAAUACUAGCACACUUACUCAGACGUUAGGCACAAAAUACUAGCACACUUAGACGCUCCAGCAAAGAACAUAUAAACUACUCUGAUGAUAUGCAGAAAUGAUGCCUUCGUUUUAAACAUAUGCAAUCAACAUCUCCUAGAGUGUAAAGAAUCCUGGCUAGCUGGACAUCAU
Molecule: long non-coding RNA, 319 nt
Filed under: Prunus persica (peach)
Lineage: Eukaryota; Viridiplantae; Streptophyta; Magnoliopsida; Rosales; Rosaceae
Description: long non-coding RNA (PPER_LNC001345)
Source: RNAcentral